RNAcentral lists this ribosomal RNA (577 nucleotides) under uncultured bacterium. RNAcentral describes it as "partial 16S ribosomal RNA". It matches the Rfam family "Bacterial small subunit ribosomal RNA", at positions 355 to 923 of the family's 1533-position model. The record is from RNAcentral.
UGGGGAAUUUUGGACAAUGGGCGAAAGCCUGAUCCAGCAAUGCCGCGUGUGUGAAGAAGGCCUUCGGGUUGUAAAGCACUUUUGUCCGGAAAGAAAUCCUUGGCUCUAAUACAGUCGGGGGAUGACGGUACCGGAAGAAUAAGCACCGGCUAACUACGUGCCAGCAGCCGCGGUAAUACGUAGGGUGCAAGCGUUAAUCGGAAUUACUGGGCGUAAAGCGUGCGCAGGCGGUUUGCUAAGACCGAUGUGAAAUCCCCGGGCUCAACCUGGGAACUGCAUUGGUGACUGGCAGGCUAGAGUAUGGCAGAGGGGGGUAGAAUUCCACGUGUAGCAGUGAAAUGCGUAGAGAUGUGGAGGAAUACCGAUGGCGAAGGCAGCCCCCUGGGCCAAUACUGACGCUCAUGCACGAAAGCGUGGGGGAGCAAACAGGAUUAGAUACCCUGGGUAGUCCACGCCCUAAACGAUGUCAACUAGUUGUUGGGGAUUCAUUUCCUUAGUAACGUAGCUAACGCGUGAAGUUGACCGCCUGGGGAGUACGGUCGCAAGAUUAAAACUUAAAGGAAUUGACGGGGUCAUA